This 371-nucleotide ribosomal RNA is filed under the name Klebsiella pneumoniae. RNAcentral describes it as "bacterial LSU rRNA". It matches the Rfam family "Bacterial large subunit ribosomal RNA", at positions 890 to 1258 of the family's 2925-position model. RNAcentral also lists the same sequence under 1 other name. The record is from RNAcentral. Lineage: Bacteria; Pseudomonadati; Pseudomonadota; Gammaproteobacteria; Enterobacterales; Enterobacteriaceae.
UCAUCUUCGGGGGUAGAGCACUGUUUCGGCUAGGGGGUCAUCCCGACUUACCAACCCGAUGCAAACUACGAAUACCGAAGAAUGUUAUCACGGGAGACACACGGCGGGUGCUAACGUCCGUCGUGAAGAGGGAAACAACCCAGACCGCCAGCUAAGGUCCCAAAGUCAUGGUUAAGUGGGAAACGAUGUGGGAAGGCACAGACAGCCAGGAUGUUGGCUUAGAAGCAGCCAUCAUUUAAAGAAAGCGUAAUAGCUCACUGGUCGAGUCGGCCUGCGCGGAAGAUGUAACGGGGCUAAACCAUGCACCGAAGCUGCGGCAGCGACACUAUGUGUUGUUGGGUAGGGGAGCGUUCUGUAAGCCUGCGAAGGUG